Non-coding RNA from Nothobranchius furzeri (turquoise killifish), 581 nucleotides. NCBI's taxonomy places the organism in Eukaryota, Metazoa, Chordata, Actinopteri, Cyprinodontiformes, Nothobranchiidae. The record is from RefSeq and is a predicted model, not a curated record.
AGUCAGGUCCCCAGGCUGAAACUCCAGUCAUUCUCACUAGAUCUGUCCGAGAGGAAGGAUCUCCUGAAUACCCUAACCAGAAGCCUUAAGUCUCUCGAACUAAAUAACCGUCUAGUAAAAACAUGGACCGCACCCUGUUUCUCAAGCAGCUGCUCCCUCUAUUAAAAACUGCGUCAUUCAGAAGAUCCAGCGAAAGCAGCAUUUACUUCUCAUGCAAGAAGACACACAUUCACUCAUUCACAAGGCACAGAGACAUUCUUUGUUUGUCACAGUCUCUUUUUAUUAUUAUUAUUAUUUUUUUAAGGUAAGUCAGUUCGUCACUUAUUUAUUCUCUCUCUAUAUAUAUAUAAUAUUUUAAGCACAGAAUUUAUUUAACACUGCACUGGUUAUUUUCAGAAUUUAAUGCUUACUAUGCUUUUAAGCAGGCCUUAUGUAACAUUAGAGCAAAUCCAAUUGCAAUUUUUUUUGAGAGCGCUCUGAGGAAUAGUUUAUAUAUUUAUUUUCUGCAGAUCUGUUUUGAUUUUACUGUUUAGCAGCUAUAUGACUAUAUUUCUAAAAUAAAGCUGUCAUUUACAUCCUUA